GACGAACGCUGGCGGCGUGCUUAACACAUGCAAGUCGAACGGAAAGGCCCUGCUUUUGUGGGGUGCUCGUGUGGCGCACGGGUGAGUAACACGUGAGUAACCUGCCCCUGACUUUGGGAUAACUUCUGGAAACUGGGGCUAAUACCGCAUAGGAGAUCCUGCUGCGUGGUGGGGGUUGGAAAGUUUCGGCGUUUGGGGAUGGACUCGCGGCUUAUGAGCUUGUUGGGGGGGUAGUGGCUUACAAAGGUUUUGACGGGUAGCCCGCCUGAGAGGGUGACCGGCGACAUUGGGACUGAGAGAGGGCCCAGAAGCCUACGGGCGGCAGUAGUGGAGAGUAUUGCACAAUAGGCGGAAGCCUGAGACGGCAGCGCCGCGUGCGGGAUGACGGGCUUCGGGUUAUAAACCGCUUUCGACUGAGACAAAGAGGUAGUGACGGUAACGGGUAAGAAAGCACCGGCUAACUACGUG
This 468-nucleotide ribosomal RNA is filed under the name uncultured bacterium. RNAcentral's name for it is "partial 16S ribosomal RNA". It matches the Rfam family "Bacterial small subunit ribosomal RNA", at positions 28 to 507 of the family's 1533-position model. The record is from RNAcentral.